CCUACGGGAGGCAGCAGUGAGGAAUAUUGGUCAAUGGCCGGAAGGCUGAACCAGCCAAGCCGCGUGAAGGACGAAGGUGCCAAGCAUUGUAAACUUCUUUUGUCAAGGGACAAAAUCAGGCGCGAGAGCCUGACCGAGGGGACUUGAAGAAAAAGCAUCGGCUAACACCGUGCCAGCAGCCGCGGUAAUACGGAGGAUGCGAGCGUUAUCCGGAUUUAUUGGGUUUAAAGGGUGCGUAGGCGGACUGUUAAGUCAGCGGUCAAAGCCCGGGGCUCACCCCCGGCGAGCCGUUGAAACUGGCUGUCUUGCGUUGUCGAGAGUUAUGCGGAAUGCGCCGUGUAGCGGUGAAAUGCUUAGAUAUUGCGCAGAACUCCGAUUGCGAAGGCAGCAUACCGGCGGCGAUCUGACGCUGAGGCACGAAAGCGUGGGUAUCGAACAGGAUUAGAUACCCGUGUAGUC
Molecule: ribosomal RNA, 459 nt
Filed under: uncultured bacterium
Lineage: Bacteria
Description: partial 16S ribosomal RNA
Rfam family: Bacterial small subunit ribosomal RNA
Source: RNAcentral